UCCUGGCUCAGGAUGAACGCUAGCUACAGGCUUAACACAUGCAAGUCGAGGGGCAUCAGGACAGCAGCUUGCUGCUGUUGCUGGCGACCGGCGCACGGGUGAGUAACACGUAUCCAACCUGCCUGAAACUCCGGGACAGCCCUCUGAAAGGAGGAUUAAUACCCGGAUGCGGCCCCUUUGGGGGACCAUCCCCUUCGGUCAAAGAUUCAUCGGUUUCGGAUGGGGAUGCGUACGAUUAGGUAGUCGGCGGGGUAACGGCCCACCGAGCCUUCGAUCGUUAGGGUUCUGAGAGGAAGGUCCCCACAUAGGAACUGAGACACGGUCCUAACUCCUACGGGAGGCAGCAGUGAGGAAUAUUGGUCAAUGGUCGAGAGACUGAACCAGCCAAGUAGCGUGAAGGAUGACUGCCCUACGGGUUGUAAACUUCUUUACGGGAGGAUAAAGUGCGGUACGCGUACCGCUUUGCAGGUAUCCCGUGAAUAAGCAUCGGCUAAUUCCGUGCC
RNAcentral lists this ribosomal RNA (503 nucleotides) under uncultured bacterium. RNAcentral describes it as "partial 16S ribosomal RNA". It matches the Rfam family "Bacterial small subunit ribosomal RNA", at positions 17 to 509 of the family's 1533-position model. The record is from RNAcentral.